AGAGUUUGAUCAUGGCUCAGAUUGAACGCUGGCGGCAGGCUUAACACAUGCAAGUCGAACGGUAACAGGAGAAAGCUUGCUUUCUUGCUGACGAGUGGCGGACGGGUGAGUAAUGCUUGGGAAUCUGGCUUAUGGAGGGGGAUAACUACGGGAAACUGUAGCUAAUACCGCGUAAUAUCUUCGGAUUAAAGGGUGGGACUUUCGGGCCACCUGCCAUAAGAUGAGCCCAAGUGGGAUUAGGUAGUUGGUGGGGUAAAGGCCUACCAAGCCGACGAUCUCUAGCUGGUCUGAGAGGAUGACCAGCCACACUGGAACUGAGACACGGUCCAGACUCCUACGGGAGGCAGCAGUGGGGAAUAUUGCACAAUGGGGGGAACCCUGAUGCAGCCAUGCCGCGUGAAUGAAGAAGGCCUUCGGGUUGUAAAGUUCUUUCGGUGAUGAGGAAGGUGUUUGUUUUAAUAGAACAAGCAAUUGACGUUAGUCACAGAAGAAGCACCGGCUAACUCCGUGCCAGCAGCCGCGGUAAUACGGAGGGUGCGAGCGUUAAUCGGAAUGACUGGGCGUAAAGGGCACGCAGGCGGUGACUUAAGUGAGAUGUGAAAGCCCCGAGCUUAACUUGGGAAUUGCAUUUCAUACUGGGUCGCUAGAGUAUUUUAGGGAGGGGUAGAAUUCCACGUGUAGCGGUGAAAUGCGUAGAGAUGUGGAGGAAUACCGAAGGCGAAGGCAGCCCCUUGGGAAUAUACUGAACGCUCAUGUGCGAAAGCGUGGGGAGCAAACAGGAUUAGAUACCCUGGUAGUCCACGCUAUAGACGCUGUCGAUUUGGGGAUUGGGCUUAGAGCUUGGUGCCCGUAGCU
Molecule: ribosomal RNA, 855 nt
Filed under: uncultured bacterium
Lineage: Bacteria
Description: bacterial SSU rRNA
Rfam family: Bacterial small subunit ribosomal RNA
Source: RNAcentral